AUGCAAGGCCCUAACACCAGUACCAAGUCCUUCAAGCACGAGUUCCUCAAGAAGCUCCUCUUGGGCCUCCAGCUCCAGGCACGCACGAGGAAAUCUUUCGGCAGCGGUGCCAUGAGCCUCCACGAGAGGAAGGUCGCCGUCAAGUUCUCCGCCAACGUCGCCAUGGCGGCCGCGCGCUGUGCCACCCACACCGAGGCAAGGUGGCCCAGUGCCAUCUUAGCCUCCGAUGCGGGCGCCUUACCAUCAUCCGGCGCUUGCAAGGUGCAGAGGUGCAGGAGGAUCGUGGUCACGUGCUGCCGCCGGAAGAGGAGCUGGAUUAGAUCAGGUCGCGCUGGUGGUGGCGCUGUUGCCAGGAGGCUGCUGAGGACGAGAACUAUGGCGCUGAGGGAGCUGAUACCGGGAGGCCGGGACGCCACCGUCGACGAGGUCACUCUGUUACGCGAGGCCAUGGACUACACGGUGCACCUGCGCGCUCAGGUCGACGUGCUCCGCCGGCUAUCGGAAGCCGUGCAAAGAUCCAGCUCCAGCUCCCAGCAGGGCAAGGCGCCUUUUAUUGACACCACAUGGAUGCCGGAUACUCUCAUAUUUAAGAAACAGCCAAACGCAUGCACCAAGUCCUUGAAGCAGGCCUUGCUCAAGAACCUCCUCCUUGGCCUCCAGCUCCAAGCACACACCAGCACAACCUUCGGUGGAGCCACGAGCCUCCGCGAGAGGAAGCGCGCCAUCAAGUCCUCCGUGGACGUCGCCAUGGCAGCUGCGCACGGCGGCGUUGCGAGGUGGCCCAUCUUGGCUCCGACAUCCAGUUCGUGCAAGGUGCAGAGGUGUAGGAGGAUCAUGAGGAGGAGCUACCACCGGAAGAGGAGCUGGGGGAGAUCAGGCCGCGCCGGUGGUGACGACGCUGCAGGGAGGCUGGCGAGGAGCAGGACCAUGGCGCUGAGGGAGAUGAUACCGGGAGGCCAGGACUCCACCGUCGACGAGGCCACUCUGUUACGCGAGGCCAUGGAUUACGCCGUACACCUGCGUGCUCAGGUCAACGUGCUUCGCCGGCUCUCGGAAGCCGUGCAAAUAUGUAGCUCCAGUGAUUGA
Molecule: ribosomal RNA, 1086 nt
Filed under: Triticum aestivum (bread wheat)
Lineage: Eukaryota; Viridiplantae; Streptophyta; Magnoliopsida; Poales; Poaceae
Description: partial small subunit ribosomal RNA
Source: RNAcentral